RNAcentral lists this transfer RNA (65 nucleotides) under Leptopilina syphax. RNAcentral's name for it is "tRNA-Thr". Lineage: Eukaryota; Metazoa; Arthropoda; Insecta; Hymenoptera; Figitidae. The record is from RNAcentral.
AGCUAAGUAGUUUAUGUAAAACUUUAAUUUUGUAAAUUAAAAUUAAAUUAAGAAUUUUUUAGCUA